AAUAAAAGCCAUAUCACCCUGUACUCCAAGACUGGUUGCCCACUGAAGCUAAGCAGGGCUGAGCCUGGUCAGUACCUGGAUGGGAGACCUCCUGGGAAAACUAGGUUGCUGCUGGAA
Molecule: ribosomal RNA, 117 nt
Filed under: Sinocyclocheilus rhinocerous
Lineage: Eukaryota; Metazoa; Chordata; Actinopteri; Cypriniformes; Cyprinidae
Source: RNAcentral